UUUUAUUGAAAUAAUUCCUAUAUCAUUAUUAUAAAGUUUUGGUUUGCUUAGAAAAAACUGAAAUUAAAAAACAUUCUAAAUUAAGGUUAUUGCAUCUGUGUAACUUUCUGUAUGUGCUUUCCAAGUUUUUGUGCCAUUCAGUUACAGGGUUUGACUCUUGAGUCUAAAAAGGACACUAAGUCCUUCUCAAUCUUAAAUACUGACAGCAGUUAAAGCCUCAUCUUCAGACCUGGUGGAAGAUGCCAAUCAAAAUAAACUGCUUUCAUGAGACACAGGGCCAGAAGUUAAAAGUAUUCGACCUCCUAAGGCUCAGGGACUAUUGUGGAAGAGGAUACAAUUGAAGACACUGGUUAUUUUACCAAGGCUUUGAUUGGAAUGGCAUACUUUCAGAUAUAAAUCAACUGCUUUAAGGAAUCAAAGUUGACUUACAGAGUCAUAAAAUCCCCUUGGGAAAGCUGGCCUCAUGCCUUGUCCACACAGUUCCUGUAGAGUUUCCUGGCCUGUGCUACACAACUUAAACUUCAGAAGAAAAUAACAGCAACCUAUAUGCCAGCCUACUGAUGUAUGAACUUCAGAGAAAAAUGGCUCUAUCUUUUCAUUUGUUUGUUGUUUUCUUUCUUUCUUUCCCUAUUUUCUCUUCGUAGAACAUGAUACUUUACAACCUGCUAAAAAUGAGCUUUUCUAAUAAUGUGAGACCUACCUGUCUAGAAUAAAUCAUCCUAGCUAUA
Symphalangus syndactylus (siamang) is the source of this 728-nucleotide long non-coding RNA. RefSeq lists it as uncharacterized. NCBI's taxonomy places the organism in Eukaryota, Metazoa, Chordata, Mammalia, Primates, Hylobatidae. The record is from RefSeq and is a predicted model, not a curated record.